GAUGAACGCUGGCGGCGUGCCUAAUACAUGCAAGUCGAGCGAACAGACGAGGAGCUUGCUCCUCUGACGUUAGCGGCGGACGGGUGAGUAACACGUGGAUAACCUACCUAUAAGACUGGGAUAACUUCGGGAAACCGGAGCUAAUACCGGAUAAUAUAUUGAACCGCAUGGUUCAAUAGUGAAAGACGGUUUUGCUGUCACUUAUAGAUGGAUCUGCGCCGCAUUAGCUAGUUGGUAAGGUAACGGCUUACCAAGGCAACGAUGCGUAGCCGACCUGAGAGGGUGAUCGACCACACUGGCACUGAGACACGGUCCAGACUCCUACGGGAGGCAGCAGUAGGGAAUCUUCCGCAAUGGGCGAAAGCCUGACGGAGCAACGCCGCGUGAGUGAUGAAGGUCUUCGGAUCGUAAAACUCUGUUAUUAGGGAAGAACAAAUGUGUAAGUAACUAUGCACGUCUUGACGGUACCUGAUCAGAAAGCCACGGCUCACUACGUG
This 497-nucleotide ribosomal RNA is filed under the name uncultured bacterium. Its description in RNAcentral is "partial 16S ribosomal RNA". It matches the Rfam family "Bacterial small subunit ribosomal RNA", at positions 28 to 507 of the family's 1533-position model. The record is from RNAcentral.